UCUAAGCAAAAGACUCACAUAGGCAUACAGU
This 31-nucleotide non-coding RNA is filed under the name Mus musculus (house mouse). Lineage: Eukaryota; Metazoa; Chordata; Mammalia; Rodentia; Muridae. The record is from RNAcentral.